Molecule: ribosomal RNA, 381 nt
Filed under: uncultured marine Chaetocerotaceae
Lineage: Eukaryota; Bacillariophyta; Thalassiosirophyceae; Chaetocerotales; Chaetocerotaceae
Description: SSU rRNA
Rfam family: Eukaryotic small subunit ribosomal RNA
Source: RNAcentral
AGCUCCAAUAGCGUAUAUUAAAGUUGCUGCAGUUAAAAAGCUCGUAGUUGCAUUUCCGAGGCAAGGGAUUAGUCCGACCUUUGGUGGGUAUUUAAUCCUCUUGCCUCGUCCUUGAGUGGUGCUUCUUGGUAUUAAGUUAUCGAGGAGAUAGCCGCUCAUCGUUUACUGUGAGAAAAUUAGAGUGUUCAAAGCAGGCUUAUGCCGUUGAAUAUAUUAGCAUGGAAUAAUAAGAUAGGACCUCGGUACUAUUUUGGUGGUUUGAGAACCAAGGUAAUGAUGAAUAGGGACAGUUGGGGGUAUUCGUAUUCAGUUGUCAGAGGUGAAAUUCUUAGAUUUACGGAAGACGAACUACUGCGAAAGCAUUUGCCAAGGAUGUUUUCA